This 485-nucleotide small RNA is filed under the name Pan troglodytes (chimpanzee). RNAcentral's name for it is "processed transcript". Lineage: Eukaryota; Metazoa; Chordata; Mammalia; Primates; Hominidae. The record is from RNAcentral.
GAGGAGGCUAGACUCAAGCUGUCUGGAGAGUGUGAAACAAAAGUGUGUGAAGAGUUGUAACUGUGUGACUGAGCUUGAUGGCCAAGUUGAAAAUCUUCAUUUGGAUCUGUGCUGCCUUGCUGGUAACCAGGAAGACCUUAGUAAGGACUCUCUAGGUCCUACCAAAUCAAGCAAAAUUGAAGGAGCUGGUACAAGUAUCUCAGAGCCUCCGUCUCCUGUCAGUCCGUAUGCUUCAGAAAGCUGUGGAACGCUACCUCUUCCUUUGAGACCUUGUGGAGAAGGGUCUGAAAUGGUAGGCAAAGAGAAUAGUUCCCCAGAGAAUAAAAACUGGUUGUUGGCCAUGGCAGCCAAACGGAAGGCUGAGAAUCCAUCUCCACGAAGUCCGUCAUCCCAGACACCCAAUUCCAGGAGACAGAGCGGAAAGACAUUGCCAAGCCCGCUGCAGUCUGCAAAGGUCUUCACAAAUCAGAAUCAACUGGUAAUUA